GGAAGGUUCGCAUAGUGGCCGAGUGCACGCGCCUUGAAAGCGCGCGACGGGAGACCGUCCGUGGGUUCAAAUCCCACACCUUCCA
RNAcentral lists this transfer RNA (85 nucleotides) under Antricoccus suffuscus. It matches the Rfam family "tRNA". Rfam says of the family: Transfer RNA (tRNA) molecules are approximately 80 nucleotides in length. Their secondary structure includes four short double-helical elements and three loops (D, anti-codon, and T loops). Lineage: Bacteria; Bacillati; Actinomycetota; Actinomycetes; Geodermatophilales; Antricoccaceae. The record is from Rfam by way of RNAcentral.